GAUGAACGCUGGCGGCGUGCCUAACACAUGCAAGUCGAGCGAACCCUUCGGGGUGAGCGGCGGACGGGUGAGUAACGCGUGGGUAACCUGCCCUAUACACACGGAUAACGUACCGAAAGGUACGCUAAUACGGGAUAAAGUUGUUGGAUGGCAUCUUCUAACAAUCAAAGCUCCGGCGGUAUAGGAUGGACCCGCGUCUGAUUAGCUAGUUGGUGAGGUAAUGGCUCACCAAGGCGACGAUCAGUAGCCGACCUGAGAGGGUGAUCGGCCACACUGGAACUGAGACACGGUCCAGACUCCUACGGGAGGCAGCAGUGGGGAAUAUUGCACAAUGGGCGAAAGCCUGAUGCAGCAACGCCGCGUGAGCGACGAAGGUCUUCGGAUCGUAAAGCUCUGUCCUCAAGGAAGAUAAUGACGGUACUUGAGGAGGAAGCCCCGGCUAACUACGUGCCAGCCGCCACCGUAA
Molecule: ribosomal RNA, 466 nt
Filed under: uncultured bacterium
Lineage: Bacteria
Description: partial 16S ribosomal RNA
Rfam family: Bacterial small subunit ribosomal RNA
Source: RNAcentral